RNAcentral lists this ribosomal RNA (416 nucleotides) under uncultured bacterium. RNAcentral's name for it is "partial 16S ribosomal RNA". It matches the Rfam family "Bacterial small subunit ribosomal RNA", at positions 355 to 763 of the family's 1533-position model. The record is from RNAcentral.
UAGGGAAUCUUCCACAAUGGACGCAAGUCUGAUGGAGCAACGCCGCGUGAGUGAAGAAGGUUUUCGGAUCGUAAAACUCUGUUGGUAGAGAAGAACGUUGGUGAGAGUGGAAAGCUCAUCAAGUGACGGUAACUACCCAGAAAGGGACGGCUAACUACGUGCCAGCAGCCGCGGUAAUACGUAGGUCCCGAGCGUUGUCCGGAUUUAUUGGGCGUAAAGCGAGCGCAGGUGGUUUAUUAAGUCUGGUGUAAAAGGCAGUGGCUCAACCAUUGUAUGCAUCGGAAACUGGUAGACUUGAGUGCAGGAGAGGAGAGUGGAAUUCCAUGUGUAGCGGUGAAAUGCGUAGAUAUAUGGAGGAACACCGGUGGCGAAAGCGGCUCUCUGGCCUGUAACUGACACUGAGGCUCGAAAGCGUG